GGAGGAUCUACACUUUCCUCCUGGCAAGACGAAUGCACAGAUACCAGAGCACGAAAACAAACUUUGUUGAGACAAGACCAGGAUUACAGGACAUAUUUCAGUCGCAGUUAACUGAUGUGGAUCACAGACUUUUCCAGCUGUUUGCUGAAGUGUUUGAUCGCAGAGGGACGAGGAGACACGGACAAAUAAUAUAAAGUCAGGUGAAGUUUUUUAGUCCACAGAACAUUUCUGGAGCUUCACAGUAAAACAGAGUUGCAGCAUUUUGCUAAACAGCUGACGCAGCUGACACUUGAUUUAAAACAUGAAUGGCUCCUGACAGCUCUCCUGGUGUAAUGCAAGUUUUUGGAAGUGUUAGCCAUCUUUUUUUUUUCUGUUUUACUGUGAAGCUCCAGAAAUGUUUCUGGACUCUGAGACUUCACCUGACUUUAUAUCAUCAGGAGGAGGAGACGAGGACUGGAGUGACUUUUAUGGGGGAACUAAUGUCGUCUCCUUUAUUGUAAACUGUUUAAAUUGACAGACUGUGUUACUGACAUCCAGUAAACACAAAGUCCAGUCCUGCCUGUUUACAGUCGCUGCAGAUGAUCAAGGAGUGGCUCCUCCUUCAGACGGCACACUUGCAUAUUUGAGCUGCCUGCUUUCUGUUCACAGCGUCACAGGUGAAGGUGUGCAGUGGAGGAACAGCUGAGCUGUGAGACCAUUUGAUCUGGUAGGUGCUCUUUAAUUUACAAACAGUCACAUUUAUUGGGAUGGAGGGAAACAGGAAACACUGAUGAUACGAUCGAGACUUUUGUAAUAUUAUCUAAUACUUCCUCAUGAUGUUUUUCUAUAUUUGCAUUUCACAUGUUUUAAAAGAACACAGUCACACCCGCUCACCCUGCUGUGACUCUGAUCAUGACAACACAGCUACUGUAUCACAUUCUUUAUCUUUGUUUUUCAGUCCAGUCAUGUCCUCCACCAUCCUGCUGAUCGUCCUUCUGUCUGAAAUUGAUCUCCACCCAUGGGCAGAACAUUAAUGAUGACAGCACACAUUACAGGUCUGAUCUCAGAGCAGCUUCUCAGGGCAGCUGUUGGAGGAUCCGUCCUGAUCCCAUGUUCUCUUCCUGGUAAUCCACUGAGGUUUUACUGGCAGGAGGACCAGUCUCCUUACCUUUUGUGUCACUGGGACGGUGGGAAAACAUUGCCAGGAUGUGACAAAUACAAUGGCAGAUUCCAAGUCUUCACUUCUGAGUUUAGUUCUGGAAACAUUUCCAUCAGACUUGACAACAUUUCUCCUGAAGAUGAUAAGAAAACAUUCUUUGCCUACGUUAAAUUUGAUGAGCAGAUACAAUCUGAACGACGGUGUGAGUCCACGCUGCAGGUUUCAGCUCCCUACCAGGAUCUGGUCCUGACAGUUAACCACACAACCAACAGUGCAGCCUGCAGAGCACGAGGAGGAUACCCUGCAGCUCAGGUAUCAUGGAAGGGUCUGAACAGAUCCAGUGAUGAGGAGCAGGACCUGCAGGAUGCUGAGACGUCCCUGCAGCAGGAUCCAACAGAGAAAACCUUCUCCUUCACAAGCUCUGUCAACAUUACGGGGUUAAAGUCUGUAACCUGCAUCGUCUACAACCCUCACUCCCAUGAGACUGUUAAAAGAACUGUGGAGAUCGACACUGCUGCUGGUGAAAACAAGAAGAUUAACGUGGCUGCAAUAGCUGUACCUUUUGUCCUCGUCAUCCUUGUUGGUGCUGUGCUGUUCUAUCUGUGGUACAAAAGGCAACCUCAAGAUCCAGAUCUGCCCAACCAAUCACCAAUCGAACUUCAUCCCCAAGACAGAGCUCAAGCUGAAGAUCAAGAUCAAUCUCGGGCUCCAGAUCCACCCAGUGAACCACCAAUCGAAUAUGAUCCCCACGAUGGAGCUGAAGGUGAAGAUGCAGACGCAGCAGAAACUGCCCAAGACCCAGUUCAGGAGGAGGGUGAGCUGCAUUUAGUUGAUAACAGCGAGUUAGUUUGGAAAUACCAACUGAGAUCAUUCAAAGAUAAUAACUCAUAAAAACAACAAUAAUAAUAUCAGUUCAUGUCUCUCUUUCUCUUUCUAACCUCUCAGCAGCUGAUGCACCUGGUGAAACUGCUUCACUGACUGGGACUCCAGUUGGUAUUCGCCAUCGCACAAAGUUGAGCGAGGACGCUGCUGCUUCUCCAGAGAAAGAAAAUCUGUUGAAGUGAAAUGAAGACAGCGCCUCAGAUUGAGUCAGAAGUGUUUAUGAGAACCUGGAUCAGAACUGAGUCAGGGAGGCAACAACCUGAAGAACUACUGCACAUGGACUAAAAUGAUUUCAACGAAGAAGUUGAAAGUCAAGCAUAAAUGUGGGUAGGACAGACAGGAUGACAGACACGAUGACAACUCUUUUCUUCAAUGUUACCAAAGACACUUCCAGUUACCUCAGUACUGUUGUUUGGUCCUGUUACGUUGCUUUGUGGGUUGGAACAUUUCUCUUUUAUUUGAUGAGUGAAUGAACUAUUUAUCCGUCAGACUGAACACCAUCAGACAGACACACUGCGGUCCACACUGACGCCAAACUGUCCUACCUCUCUGCAUCUUUCACAUAGAUGGACAUGAUUCUCACCUUUAAAGCGCCUAGUGAACAGGUCUGUGGUGUGACGAUUUGUGUUGUUGUCUCAUAUUUAUUUUUUUUAUUUUUGAGUGUCCAGUGAGUGUUUCUGUAUCAUCUGUUUGUCUGAAUGUUGGGAUUUGUGUUCAGAGUGUUAGGAAUUUUCUGAUAAUUAACCCUCAGAAUCCCAAAUCCCGCCGGCGGGCCCGAAAUACCACUUAUUUUUAAAUGACAUGCAUUUACAAACCAUUUGUCCUAUCGAAAAACCAAAGAUUCUCAAGAUUCCGAGGGUACCUGAAUGUAUCACAAGCAACAAGUGCAACAUGUCUAAACAGGCUGGAGAAGACGGGAGAAUGUCAUGAAAUUUCAUCAACCUCGCUUUGAUUGCCAUGUCUUCUUUGAAAAUUUGCAGAAAAUCUAAAUUCUGUAAAAUACACAUAAUUCUACGCUUCUUACUGCUUUCUGGAAGCCCUGAAUGACGGACAUUCGCCGAGUAUACGCACUUCAAGAAUUCUUUGAAUUUUACAUCCCAUGGCAUUGUCUUGCAGGCUGCUCAGAGCCGCUCAGCACCAAUGAGCAGGCUCUAUACGUCUGCUCUCAGUGCCUUACAAAACUUGUUUCAGGUCAAAUUUAACAACUCUCUUGUCCUCUGUAAAAAAAACACAAAAAAAACUGCAUAGAGGUGCAGAAAUUUUGGUGUGGCAGCAACUGCUUUGCAGAUUGGCAUGAUGCCUCUGCAAUGUAGACUGUAAAUUGUGUAAAUAGUUGUGACAGUAUUAUUUGUAAAUAGUUUGUGAAGAGUAAAUGUGUAUUUGUUGCCUGUGAUAAUGUUUACAGUUCACCAAUUGUUUUUUUUAUCUGAAGACUUACAUAGUUCUUCACAUUUCUUCAUUUGUUUUAUAAAAUACAUAUUUAGAAAAUGUCAAUGUUCCUUUUUCUUGAUUGAAUGAUUUAUUGCAUUCUGAUGAUGUUAUACUGCUCAGGAGAUAUUGAUGAGUUACAUCUGACUUUUGCCAUGGUUGUCCUGAACCCAUAGAGGUGCAGGACUUCAUAUUUUACUGAAGAGACCACAGUGAGUAAAAAUGUGACAGAAGCAAAAAUGGCCAGAAACUGCUUGGGAUUCUUAGAGUUAUACAAUGGUACUUGAAAAAGUAUUUGAUUACCUGUGUUGUCUUGUAUUUCACUAUAAAACUAAGUACAGAAAUGGUCAGAAGAAGUUGUACCUGAACCAAAAUUGAGCAUAAAAACAGAAUAAUUAAGAAUAAACCAAAUGCUUCCACUCAAAUGGAGAGAAGGAAAAGUGUGACCUGUGUGAUCUGAGUUAAAGUCCAAUAUGUGAUUCUCACAGAGUCAUAUGUUGCACAGUGACAAAUCCUCUAAGAAGGCAGAGAGAGCAUGGUGUGGUGAAAACCAAACAUCAGCCUGGUUUCACACCAUCUGGUCUGCAGAUAAACCAGCUGACUGAUGUUUGUUUGGGAGCAGUAAAGUUCAGACAAGUUUAGAAAGACGGGGAGAGUUGUUGGAAACUGAAAAAAACAACAACUCACCAGUGCAUUUUUAUUCAACAUUUGAAUGCACCGUUUCAUCAAGGCACUGAUUGUGUGUUUGAACACAACAGAAACAAACUGUAGUCUGUUGCAGUCGGUGGUGUUUGUACUAAAAACAAUUCUUAUUUUUUCCUCUUCACAUUUAAAGCCUCAUGCAGCAGCUCUGUAACACACUGUUGGUGAUGAACACUUCAUCUGAUGGAGGAUCUACACUUCUCUCUGCAAGACGAAUGCUCAGAUACCAGAGCACGAAAACAAACUUUGUUGAGACAAGACCAAGAUUACAGGACAUAUUUCAGUCACAGUUAACUGAUGUGGAUCGCUGACUUUUACAGCUGUUUGCUGAAGUGUUUGAUCGCAGAGGGACGAGGAGACACGGACAAAUAAUAUAAAGUCAGGUGAAGUUUUUUUAUUCCACAGAACAUUUCUGGAGCUUCACAGUAAAACAGAGUUGCAGCAUUCUGCUAAACAACUGAAGCAGCUGAGACUAUCUAUCUUUUUGUUUGAUUUAUUUUAUUGUGGUUGUUUGUGGUUGUAUUGUUUAUUUUGUGUUGUAUAAUAUAAUUUUUAAAAAAAAAGAAAACAUUCUUCGCCUUCGUAAAUUUUUAUGAUGAGCAGAAAAAAAUCGCCAAACCGUUUGAACAACGGUGCAGAUCCACGCUGCAGGUUUCAGGUAAUCUGAGAAGCUUCUUUACACCAAACCUCAAUAAAUCUCUCCUCAUAUCAAAGUGCUGUACAUGUCUCAGUUGUUCUUUCUGUCACACUCACAGCUCCCUACCAGCAUCUGGUCCUGACGGUUAACCACACAACCAACACUGCAACCUGCUCAGCACGAGGAGGUUACCCUGCAGCUCAGGUAUCAUGGAAGGGUCUGAACAGAUCCAGUGAUGAACAGCAGGACCUGCAGGAUGCUGAGACGUCCCUGCAGCAGGAUCCAACAGAGAAAACCUUCUCCUUCACAAGCUCUGUCAACGUUACAGGGUUAAAGUCUGUAACCUGCAUCGUCUACAACCCUCACUCCAACAAGACCAGAACCAGAACCAUGGAGACUGACAUUGGUGAGAGAGCAUUCAGAUCAAUUCAUGUGGCCUGGAAGCAUCUUCAAGGAUGCUUUUUAGCUAAUAACUAUAAGGAAAAAUGAUAAAUGUAUGGAAUAAAUCAGUGACUGAAGAAUUGAGCACCUGAAUUAUUGUGGUGUUACAGUACCAAUGUGUUGCCUUUUUAUUUCCCCUGAUUUUAUAGGUGAGGCGCAGCAAAGGAGUCUUUGGGCCGCUAUAGUUGGACUGCUUCUUGCCCUCAUUCUAUCAGCUGCUUGUGUAGCAUGUGAGUGAUCUUUUUUAUUCUCUAUUGCAAUUAUUAUUUUAUGUAUCAUUAACUUGU
Sparus aurata (gilthead seabream) is the source of this 5515-nucleotide long non-coding RNA. The record is from Ensembl. Lineage: Eukaryota; Metazoa; Chordata; Actinopteri; Spariformes; Sparidae.